Molecule: transfer RNA, 74 nt
Filed under: Phrynosoma platyrhinos (Desert horned lizard)
Lineage: Eukaryota; Metazoa; Chordata; Lepidosauria; Squamata; Phrynosomatidae
Description: tRNA-OTHER
Source: RNAcentral
GAACCAUUGUUGUCUAGUGGUUUGAGUGUUGGACUAUAACUCUAGAGACCAGGGUUCAAAGCCCUGAUCAGCCA